Molecule: long non-coding RNA, 408 nt
Filed under: Rattus norvegicus (Norway rat)
Lineage: Eukaryota; Metazoa; Chordata; Mammalia; Rodentia; Muridae
Description: long non-coding RNA NONRATT023987
Source: RNAcentral
GGAGCGCCGCGGCUCCAGAGGCAGCCCUUCCCGGGACUGGGCGCAGUAGAGGCUGGGGUCAGAGACCGCGCGUCCCGGACACCGCUCCGGUGAGGACGCUGAGGGCUGCGGUCCCACGCCUGCCUCUUUGUUCCGUCCGGGCGGCGCAGGCCCGGGCUCGGCGGCCCCUGCCCUCACCUUGUAGACGUCGCCGUAGGUGCCGCUGCCUAUGCGUUGGAUCAGCUCGAAGUCCUCCUGCGGGUUCCGGCGGGACAGGUCGAAGCCCGGGUUCAUGGCGGGCCCCGGGUGCCCCCCGCCUCCCUCCCGGCCCGGGGAGGGGGGGCGCUCAGGGGGGCCGCACGGAGGGAGCGCCCGCGGCCGGCCCGGCUCCGCCGCCGGUCACAAUCGCCCGGCUGCACGCCGCGGCCG